This 264-nucleotide ribosomal RNA is filed under the name uncultured bacterium. RNAcentral describes it as "partial 16S ribosomal RNA". It matches the Rfam family "Bacterial small subunit ribosomal RNA", at positions 793 to 1055 of the family's 1533-position model. The record is from RNAcentral.
GUCCACGCCGUAAACGAUGUCAACUAGCCGUUGGGGACCUUCGUGUCCUUGGUGGCGUAGCUAACGCGCUAAGUUGACCGCCUGGGGAGUACGGUCGCAAGAUUAAAACUCAAAUGAAUUGACGGGGGCCCGCACAAGCGGUGGAGCAUGUGGUUUAAUUCGACGCAACGCGAAGAACCUUACCAGGUCUUGACAUCCAGAGAAGUCGCUAGAGAUAGCUUCGUGCCUUCGGGAACUCUGAGACAGGUGCUGCAUGGCUGUCGU